GGAAGUCCAGAGGAUGGCUGGGAGUACCGAGAGAGGACGGAGGGAGAAAGACAGGAGUGGAUAGGAGCGAGUCGGACCAAAAGAUUGAAAGAAAGAGAGGAAUUUUAGAAACAACGGACCACUCCAAAAGUUUAUUCCUCAAGGGUCCCAUCAACCCUUAUAUGGCCAGUGGGGUCCCUCCCUCUCCUUUCUCCCUCUCUCCUUCCUUCUCUGACUCCUCAUUCCCUCUUUUUUGCUAUGCCUUCCAUGAAUGUCCUGCCAGAUAGCCGGCUGCGGGAGCGAAUGUGCCACGUCAAAGGCUGGAUACUGCAAACCAACGCGGACGACGGGGCCGGGGACGAGACGGAACUGAAAAAGUCGAGAACGGGCUCUAGGAGGCUGGAUGGUGUUUGGACAAAGUCUUACAAUUUUCCACCCAGGAAUGUGUAUGGCCCCAAUGAGACUGCCAACCACAGAGACAGAAUGAAAUGAAGAGAAAGUGAAGAAGAUAGACAGGGAAAGAGAUUGAAAACAGUGUGAUAUGAAGUCAAAUGUUCCCAUUUUAAUUUUAAUGUCAAAUUUCAAAUUCUGGAAUGGAAUAUACUCCAGGCAAACUUUAGAGGGAUCAUGCACACACUCGUAUUGAAAAGAAAUUAGGCAAUAAUGGAUUCAGCAGAACAUAAGAAACUGUGAAGUCAGCCAACUUCUUAAGUCUAAUAUUUAAAAACUUGUGUAAAAUUCAAUGUUAAUGGAAAGCCAAUAAUUUUAAUAUUAUUUGUUCAGAUCUGAAUAUUUUGAGUCUAACGGUGUGUGACUUUCAGAAAAAUAUAACCAUGUUCAUGCAAAUUCCUCUGUUUGAAGCGCCGCACGGGUUUUGAGUUUCAGUAUUCAUUAAAAUUAGUGUUUGCUUAUAUAGUCGCAUGCAUUUGGCAGUCGGGACGACCGGUGAGCGUUAGUGUGUCUGCGUCUGUGUGUGUUUAAGAUUCUAUGUAUAUCAAUAACCAUGUGUGUCUGAGUGUGUGUGUGUGUGUGUGUGUGUUUGUGUGUUAGUUUGACUUGGGGGGCUUCCAGCUAUGUCAGGGUGAUCCAGACCAAAUGCCUUAAUUCCCAAUGGACAGAGAGAGACGGUGGGGGUAUAAGGAAAAGGGAGCAAGUAAAAUAGCAGCUAAGAAAGAAAAAGAAGGAUUCAACAAAACGAGAAAUGACCGACUGAGUGAAAAAUAAGUGGAUAUAACAGUUUCAUAAUCUAGUAAUAAAAGUUUCUGCAUUUAAAUUACUAUUCUGGUUAAGAGUAUUGUACGUUUUCAGUGUCAUUUUUACUUUUUGUAGCUUUUUUGUAUGUUAAAUGCAAUGAUGUGAAAAGAAAUAUUUAGAAGACAUGUAGAAGCCCUUUAUGCUUGUAUUCAAGUAAUAUAUUAUCUUUGUCCUCUCUCUUGCCCCUUUGCUUCCGGCUUCCGGUCGGGAGAAGCAGGCUGCGCUGCCAAUGACUGAGAGCGUUGUCUGUCUGCCUGUCUACACUUGCUGUGCAGAACUUCCUGCACCUGUACAGCAGGCACAGACAGGCAGACAGAUGGCAGCCCGCCUGACAGGCCACACAGUGUGACUGACACAGAGACCAGCCAAUCAGUUCCACCACAACCUGGCAGGGAACUUUAAGCGCACCACUGACAACUGUAUUUUACCAUGAUCAUCAUAAAGUCAUCAAAUGAAUGAACAACA
Rhinichthys klamathensis goyatoka is the source of this 1698-nucleotide long non-coding RNA. RefSeq lists it as uncharacterized. Lineage: Eukaryota; Metazoa; Chordata; Actinopteri; Cypriniformes; Leuciscidae. The record is from RefSeq and is a predicted model, not a curated record. The transcript has 2 exons.